RNAcentral lists this ribosomal RNA (719 nucleotides) under Micrococcus luteus. RNAcentral's name for it is "bacterial SSU rRNA". It matches the Rfam family "Bacterial small subunit ribosomal RNA", at positions 337 to 1066 of the family's 1533-position model. The record is from RNAcentral. Lineage: Bacteria; Bacillati; Actinomycetota; Actinomycetes; Micrococcales; Micrococcaceae.
UCCUACCGGAGGCAGCAGUGGGGAAUAUUGCACAAUGGGCGCUAGCCUGAUGCAGCGACGCCGCGUGAGGGAUGACGGCCAUCGGGUUGUAAACCUCUUACUGUAGGCAAGAUGCGAAAGUGACGGUACCUGCAGAAGAAGCACCGGCUAUCUACGUGCCAGCAGCCGCGCUAAUACGUAGGGUGCGAGCGUUAUCCGGAAUUAUUGGGCGUAAAGAGCUCGUAGGCGGUUUGUCACGUCUCUCGUGAAUGUCCGGGGCUUAACCCCGGAUCUGCGGUGGGUACGGCCAGACUAGAGUGCAGUAGGGGAGACUGGAAUUCCUGGUGUAGCGGUGGAAUGCGCAGAUAUCAGGAGGAACACCGAUGGCGAAGGCAGGUCUCUGGGCAGUAACUGACGCUGAGCAGCGAAAGCAUGGGGAGCGAACAGGAUUAGAUACCCUGGUAGUCCAUGCCGUAAACGUUCGGCACUAKGUGUGGGGACCAUUCCACGGUUUCCGCGCCGCAGCUAACGCGUUAAGUGCCCCGCCUGGGGAGUACGGCCGCAAGGCUAAAACUCAAUGGAAUUGACGGGGGCCCGCACAAGCGGCGGUGCAUGCGGAUUAAUUCGAUGCAACGCGAAGAACCUUACCAAGGCUUGACAUGUUCUCGAUCGCCGUAGAGAUACGGUUUCCCCUUUGGGGCGGGUUCACAGGUGGUGCAUGGUUGUCGUCAGCUCGUGUC